GGUUAAGUGACUAAGCGUACACGGUGGAUGCCUGGGCAGUCAGAGGCGAUGAAGGACGUACUAACUUGCGAUAAGCGCAGAUAAGGCAGUAAGAGCCGUUUGAGUCUGCGAUUUCCGAAUGGGGAAACCCAACUGCAUAAGCAGUUACUGUUAACUGAAUACAUAGGUUAACAGAGCAAACCGGGGGAACUGAAACAUCUAAGUACCCCGAGGAGAAGAAAUCAACCGAGAUUCCGGUAGUAGCGGCGAGCGAACCUGGAUUAGCCCUUAAGCACUCGGUGAAGUAGGUGAACAAGCUGGAAAGCUUGGCGAUACAGGGUGAUAGCCCCGUAACCGACGCUUCAUCGAGCGUGAAAUCGAGUAGGGCGGGACACGUGAUAUCCUGUCUGAAUAUGGGGGGACCAUCCUCCAAGGCUAAAUACUCCUGACUGACCGAUAGUGAACCAGUACCGUGAGGGAAAGGCGAAAAGAACCCCUGUGAGGGGAGUGAAAUAGAACCUGAAACCGUGUACGUACAAGCAGUAGGAGCACCUUCGUGGUGUGACUGCGUACCUUUUGUAUAAUGGGUCAGCGACUUAUAUUCAGUGGCAAGGUUAACCGUAUAGGGGAGCCGUAGCGAAAGCGAGUCUUAACUGGGCGCUCAGUCUCUGGAUAUAGACCCGAAACCGGGUGAUCUAGCCAUGGGCAGGUUGAAGGUUGAGUAACAUCAACUGGAGGACCGAACCGACUAAUGUUGAAAAAUUAGCGGAUGACUUGUGGCUAGGGGUGAAAGGCCAAUCAAACUCGGAGAUAGCUGGUUCUCCCCGAAAGCUAUUUAGGUAGCGCCUCGGACGAAUACUACUGGGGGUAGAGCACUGUUAAGGCUAGGGGGUCAUCCCGACUUACCAACCCUUUGCAAACUCCGAAUACCAGUAAGUACUAUCCGGGAGACACACGGCGGGUGCUAACGUCCGUCGUGGAGAGGGAAACAACCCAGACCGCCAGCUAAGGUCCCAAAGUAUUGCUAAGUGGGAAACGAUGUGGGAAGGCUCAGACAGCUAGGAUGUUGGCUUAGAAGCAGCCAUCAUUUAAAGAAAGCGUAAUAGCUCACUAGUCGAGUCGGCCUGCGCGGAAGAUGUAACGGGGCUAAGCAAUACACCGAAGCUGCGGCAAUAUCUUUUAGAUAUUGGGUAGGGGAGCGUUCUGUAAGCCGUUGAAGGUGAAUCGUAAGGUUUGCUGGAGGUAUCAGAAGUGCGAAUGCUGACAUGAGUAACGACAAAGGGGGUGAAAAACCUCCUCGCCGGAAGACCAAGGGUUCCUGUCCAACGUUAAUCGGGGCAGGGUGAGUCGACCCCUAAGGUGAGGCCGAAAGGCGUAAUCGAUGGGAAACGGGUUAAUAUUCCCGUACUUCUGACUAUUGCGAUGGGGGGACGGAGAAGGCUAGGUGGGCCAGGCGACGGUUGUCCUGGUUCAAGUGCGUAGGCUUGAGAGUUAGGUAAAUCCGGCUCUCUUUAAGGCUGAGACACGACGUCGAGCUGCUACGGCAGUGAAGUCAUUGAUGCCAUGCUUCCAGGAAAAGCCUCUAAGCUUCAGAUAGUCAGGAAUCGUACCCCAAACCGACACAGGUGGUCGGGUAGAGAAUACCAAGGCGCUUGAGAGAACUCGGGUGAAGGAACUAGGCAAAAUGGUACCGUAACUUCGGGAGAAGGUACGCUCUUGAUGGUGAAGUCCCUCGCGGAUGGAGCUGACGAGAGUCGCAGAUACCAGGUGGCUGCAACUGUUUAUUAAAAACACAGCACUGUGCAAAAUCGCAAGAUGACGUAUACGGUGUGACGCCUGCCCGGUGCCGGAAGGUUAAUUGAUGGGGUUAGCGCAAGCGAAGCUCUUGAUCGAAGCCCCGGUAAACGGCGGCCGUAACUAUAACGGUCCUAAGGUAGCGAAAUUCCUUGUCGGGUAAGUUCCGACCUGCACGAAUGGCGUAAUGAUGGCCACGCUGUCUCCACCCGAGACUCAGUGAAAUUGAAAUCGCUGUGAAGAUGCAGUGUACCCGCGGCUAGACGGAAAGACCCCGUGAACCUUUACUACAGCUUGGCACUGAACAUUGAACCUACAUGUGUAGGAUAGGUGGGAGGCUAUGAAGACGUGACGCCAGUUGCGUUGGAGCCGUCCUUGAAAUACCACCCUUGUAUGUUUGAUGUUCUAACUUAGACCCAUUAUCUGGGUUGAGGACAGUGCCUGGUGGGUAGUUUGACUGGGGCGGUCUCCUCCCAAAGAGUAACGGAGGAGCACGAAGGUGGGCUAAUCACGGUUGGACAUCGUGAGGUUAGUGCAAUGGCAUAAGCCCGCUUAACUGCGAGAAUGACGGUUCGAGCAGGUGCGAAAGCAGGUCAUAGUGAUCCGGUGGUUCUGUAUGGAAGGGCCAUCGCUCAACGGAUAAAAGGUACUCCGGGGAUAACAGGCUGAUACCGCCCAAGAGUUCAUAUCGACGGCGGUGUUUGGCACCUCGAUGUCGGCUCAUCACAUCCUGGGGCUGAAGUCGGUCCCAAGGGUAUGGCUGUUCGCCAUUUAAAGUGGUACGCGAGCUGGGUUUAGAACGUCGUGAGACAGUUCGGUCCCUAUCUGCCGUGGGCGUUGGAAGAUUGAAGGGGGCUGCUCCUAGUACGAGAGGACCGGAGUGGACGAACCUCUGGUGUUCGGGUUGUGUCGCCAGACGCAUUGCCCGGUAGCUAAGUUCGGAAUUGAUAAGCGCU
Molecule: ribosomal RNA, 2729 nt
Filed under: Vibrio cholerae
Lineage: Bacteria; Pseudomonadati; Pseudomonadota; Gammaproteobacteria; Vibrionales; Vibrionaceae
Description: partial 23S ribosomal RNA
Rfam family: Bacterial large subunit ribosomal RNA
Source: RNAcentral